RNAcentral lists this transfer RNA (73 nucleotides) under Dethiobacter alkaliphilus AHT 1. It matches the Rfam family "tRNA". Rfam says of the family: Transfer RNA (tRNA) molecules are approximately 80 nucleotides in length. Their secondary structure includes four short double-helical elements and three loops (D, anti-codon, and T loops). Further hydrogen bonds mediate the characteristic L-shaped molecular structure. tRNAs have two regions of fundamental functional importance: the anti-codon, which is responsible for specific mRNA codon recognition, and the 3' end, to which the tRNAs corresponding amino acid is attached (by aminoacyl-tRNA synthetases). tRNAs cope with the degeneracy of the genetic code in two manners: having more than one tRNA (with a specific anti-codon) for a particular amino acid; and 'wobble' base-pairing, i.e. permitting non-standard base-pairing at the 3rd anti-codon position. The record is from Rfam by way of RNAcentral. Lineage: Bacteria; Bacillati; Bacillota; Dethiobacteria; Dethiobacterales; Dethiobacteraceae.
GCCGGCGUAGCUCAAUUGGCAGAGCAACUGACUUGUAAUCAGUAGGUUGCGGGUUCGAGUCCCAUCGCCGGCU